Non-coding RNA from Ciona savignyi (Pacific transparent sea squirt), 83 nucleotides. The record is from Rfam. NCBI's taxonomy places the organism in Eukaryota, Metazoa, Chordata, Ascidiacea, Phlebobranchia, Cionidae.
GCUUAUCACCAUUCCAGAUUGAAUAUACCCGAUCUCGUCUGAUCUCUGAAGUCAAGCAAUCUCGGGCUUGGUUAGUACUUGGA